CCGAGUGGCCCGCAUGCCUUCCGGCCCAGCCCGAGUGGCCCGCAUGCCUUCCGGCCCAGCCCGAGGGGCCCGCAUGCCUUCCGGCCCAGCCCGAGGGGCCCGCAUGCCUUCCGGCCCAGCCCGAGGGGCCCGCAUGCCUUCCGGCCCAGCCCGAGUGGCCCGCAUGCCUUCCGGCCCAGCCCGAGUGGCCCGCAUGCCUUCCGGCCCAGCCCGAGGGGCCCGCCUGCUCUCCGGCCCAGCCCGAGGGGCCCUCCUGUCCCCCGGCCCAGCCCGAGGGGCCCUCCUGUCCCCCGGCCCAGCCCGAGGGGCCCUCCUGUCCCCCGGCCCAGCCCGAGGGGCCCUCCUGUCCCCCGGCCCAGCCCGAGGGGCCCUCCUGUUCCCCGGCCCAGCCCGAGGGGCCCUCCUGUCCUCCGGCCCGGCUCGAGGGGUCCGUCUGCCUGGUGCAGCUAUCGGCUCCACCAAAGUGGGCGACGCCGAGGGUGGAGCAGGGUCCACGUCCUGCACCGGAGCCACCUCCAGGAUAGGUGGGUUGGGGAGGGAGGGUGUAGCACAGUGCCGUCGGUGACGGCAGCCACCCUCCCUUCCCUCCCUUAUUGUUUAGGGGUUAUUGUUUAUGGGUUUUGUUGGGGAUUUUGUUUGUUGGUGUUUUUUCGUUGUUAGGUGCAUUCUGGGGUCUGCACCUUGAGGGGGGGUCUUGUGUUCUGUGUUGGUCUUGUGACUCCUAAUCAGGAACAGCUGGGGAUCGUUGUUCCUGAUUGGGAGUCAUAUAUAUAUAGGAGUAUGUUUGUCACUUGGGUUUGUGGGUAGUUGUUUUUACACUGCGUGUAUAGCCUGUAAAACUGCUACUGUUGUCACCGUCAUUGUUUUUUCAAGUGGAUGCUUUACUCUUUUUUUGGUAAUAAAAUAACCAUGAGUAUUCACAUACCUGCUGCGCCUUGGUCCAUUCAUGAAGACAACCGUUACAAAUCUUUAAGGUAAAAGAUGUAAAACAAUUAUAUUUACAAUCCCAACUAAUUACUCACUUACCUAUUGUUUUUAUCAAUGGCCUCUUAUCACAUAUUGGAAGAAUACAGCGUAUCUGUAGACACGCCUCCACCACACCUUCAUCUCUGAUCUCUACCCCAAAAAAUGUUUAACAUUUUUUAUUUAUUUCACCUUUAUUUAACCAGGUAGGCAAGUUGAGAACAAGUUCUCAUUUACAAUUGCGACCUGGCCAAGAUAAAGCAAAGCAGUUCGACACAUACAACAACACAGAGUUACACAUGGAGUAAAACAAACAUACAGUCAAUAAUACAGUAGAAAAAUAAGUCUAUAUACAAUGUGAGCAAAUGAGGUGAGAUAAGGGAGGUAAAGGCAAAAAAGGCCACGGUGGCAAAGUAAAUACAAUAUAGCAAGUAAAACACUGGAAUGGUAGAUUUGUAGUGGAAGAAAGUGCAAAGUAGAAAUAUAAAUAAUGGGGUGCAAAGGAGCAAAAUAAAUAAAUAAAUAAAUACAGUAGGGGAAGAGGUAGUUGUUUGGGCAAAAUUAUAGAUGGGCUAUGUACAGGUGCAGUGAUCUGUGAGCUGCUCUGACAGCUGGUGCUUAAAGCUAGUGAGGGAGAUAAGUGUUUCCAGUUUGAGAUUUUUGUAGUUCAUUCCAGUCAUUGGCAGCAGAGAACUGGAAGGAGAGACGGCCAAAGGAGGAAUUGGCUUUGGGGGUGACCAGAUAGAUAUACCUGCUGGAGCGCGUGCUACAGGUGGGUGCUGCUAUGGUGACCAGUGAGUUGAGAUAAGGGGGGACUUUACCUAGCAGGGUCUUGUAGAUGACCUGGAGCCAGUGGGUUUGGCGACGAGUAUGAAGCGAGGGCCAGCCAACGAGAGCGUACAGGCCGCAGUGGUGGGUAGUUUUUGGGGCUUUGGUGACAAAACGGAUGGCACUGUGAUAGACUGCAUCCAGUUUAUUGAGUAGGGUAUUGGAGGCUAUUUUGUAAAUGACAUCGCCAAAGUCGAGGAUCGGUAGGAUGGUCAGUUUUACGAGGGUAUGUUUGGCAGCAUGAGUGAAGGAUGCUUUGUUGCAAAAUA
Molecule: long non-coding RNA, 2060 nt
Filed under: Salmo salar (Atlantic salmon)
Lineage: Eukaryota; Metazoa; Chordata; Actinopteri; Salmoniformes; Salmonidae
Description: lncRNA (ENSSSAG00000094447.1)
Source: RNAcentral